This 366-nucleotide ribosomal RNA is filed under the name Triticum aestivum (bread wheat). Its description in RNAcentral is "partial small subunit ribosomal RNA". The record is from RNAcentral. Lineage: Eukaryota; Viridiplantae; Streptophyta; Magnoliopsida; Poales; Poaceae.
AUGAUCGCUGAUUUGCUAGACAACAGAAUUGAGGAAGUUGGGAAAGAUAAUCCCGUGCAAGUUGUCACCGACAAUGGUGCUAACUACAAGGCAGCUGGCCACCUUUUAGAGUCGAGGAUCUCUGCACUAUAUUGGAGUCCUUGUGCAUGCCAUUGCUUGGAUCUAAUGCUCGAAGACAUAGGGAGGUUGAAGGCAUUCAAGAAACCUAUUGCACAGGCUAGAGGUGUCACAACUUUCAUCUAUAGUCAUGGGAGAAUUCUUAGUCUAAUGAGGAAGGCGACGAAUGGGAUAGAUCUUGUGAGACCAGCAGGCAGCAGCCACUCGUUUCGCCACAGCCUUCCUUCACCAAAGAGUUUGGUGCUUUGA